This 463-nucleotide ribosomal RNA is filed under the name uncultured bacterium. Its description in RNAcentral is "partial 16S ribosomal RNA". It matches the Rfam family "Bacterial small subunit ribosomal RNA", at positions 28 to 507 of the family's 1533-position model. The record is from RNAcentral.
GAUGAACGCUGACAGAAUGCUUAACACAUGCAAGUCGAUGGGGAAGUGGUGAUUGCACCGUGGUAACCAUGGCGGACGGGUGAGUAACGCGUAAGGAACUCGCAUGCUGGACUGGGAUAACAGCAGGCAACUGCUGAUAUUACCGGAUAAGGUCAUUAAGCUGCAUAGCUUAGCGAUGAAAGGAGAGGCCUGGGGAGAGCCUGGCGUCCUAUUAGCUAGUUGGAGGGGUAAGGGCCCACCAAGGAGAAGAGAGGUAGCCGGCCUGAGAGGGUGGACGGCCACAAGGGGAAUGAGAUACGGCCGUGACGCCUACGGGAGGCAGCAGUGGGGAAUAUUGGACAAUGGGGGCAACCCUGAUCCAGCAAUUCUGUGUGCACGAAGACGGUUUUCGGAUUGUAAAGUGCUUUCAGCAGGGAAGAAGGAAGUGACGGUACCUGCAGAAGAAGCGACGGCUAAAUACGUG